UUGUGACCGUUGUUACGGUCAAUUUCAUUCAGAAGCUAUGACCGUAAUCCCGUUCACAACA
This is a non-coding RNA of Caenorhabditis remanei, 61 nucleotides long. Lineage: Eukaryota; Metazoa; Nematoda; Chromadorea; Rhabditida; Rhabditidae. The record is from Rfam.